CAGUCGCCGCGGGAAUACGAAGGGGGCUAGCGUUGUUCGGAAUCACUGGGCGUAAAGAGCACGUAGGCGGAUCUUUAAGUCAGAGGUGAAAUCCCGAGGCUCAACCUCGGAACUGCCUUUGAUACUGGGGAUCUCGAGUCCGGGAGAGGUGAGUGGAACUGCGAGUGUAGAGGUGAAAUUCGUAGAUAUUCGCAAGAACACCAGUGGCGAAGGCGGCUCACUGGCCCGGAACUGACGCUGAGGUGCGAAAGCGUGGGGAGCAAACAGGAUUAGAUACCCCGGUAGUCCCUGUCUCUUAUAC
This 301-nucleotide ribosomal RNA is filed under the name uncultured bacterium. RNAcentral's name for it is "partial 16S ribosomal RNA". It matches the Rfam family "Bacterial small subunit ribosomal RNA", at positions 509 to 807 of the family's 1533-position model. The record is from RNAcentral.